CAGGGAAUCUUGCACAAUGGGCGAAAGCCUGAUGCAGCGACGCCGCGUGAGGGAAGAAGGCUCUAGGGUCGUAAACCUCUUUUCUCGGGGAAGAGUAAGGACGGUACCCGAGGAAUAAGCCACGGCUAACUACGUGCCAGCAGCCGCGGUAAUACGUAGGUGGCGAGCGUUGUCCGGAAUUACUGGGCGUAAAGGGCCUGUAGGCGGUUCGGAAAGUCUCCUGUUAAAUCUCCCGGCUUAACUGGGAGCGGUCGGGGGAAACUUCCGGACUUGAGGCCAUCAGAGGAGAGCGGAAUUCCCGGUGUAGUGGUGAAAUGCGUAGAUAUCGGGAGGAACACCAGUGGCGAAAGCGGCUCUCUGGGGUGGUUCUGACGCUGAGGGGCGAAAGCGUGGGGAGCAAACCGG
RNAcentral lists this ribosomal RNA (405 nucleotides) under uncultured bacterium. Its description in RNAcentral is "bacterial SSU rRNA". It matches the Rfam family "Bacterial small subunit ribosomal RNA", at positions 355 to 776 of the family's 1533-position model. The record is from RNAcentral.